RNAcentral lists this long non-coding RNA (573 nucleotides) under Callithrix jacchus (white-tufted-ear marmoset). RNAcentral's name for it is "lncRNA (ENSCJAG00000051786.2)". Lineage: Eukaryota; Metazoa; Chordata; Mammalia; Primates; Cebidae. The record is from RNAcentral.
CUGUAGACUAGUGACUUUCAGUCUUUCCUCACUCAUAGCAGACUGCUCUUGCUCCUGUGAGUAAUCCCUAAGGAAGUCAUAGCCCUGAUAAGCCAUGCGGGGGGAUUUGGGCAUCCUUGGAUUUUGACAUCUGAAGAGGGGUCCUGGGACCAAUCUCUCAUGGCCAUCAAGGGACAACUGUACUGCUAAAAAUUUUAUAUGCACCUUAUUUAAUUCUGAAACAGUUCUAUGAGAAAAACCUUUAAGAAGAUCUUGGAAGUCCAAAAUAUGAAAAAGAACUGCUUUGAUUGCAAUAGAGGGUCAGGCAUGGUGACUGAUGCUUGUAAUUUCAGCACUUUGGAAGGCUAAUGUAGGAGGAUCACUUGAGCUCAGGAGUUUGAGAUCAGCCUGAGCAACACAGCGAGACCCAUCUCUACAAACAAUUAAAAAAUUAGCUGGAUGUGAUGGUGCACGCCUGUGGUCCCAGCUACUCAGGAAGCUGAGGCAGGAUGAUUGCUUGAGUCUGGAAGGUGAAGGCUGCCGUGACCUGUGAUCACACCACUGCACUCCAGCCUGGGCAAAAGAAGAAGGCUC